GAGAGGGGGAGGCUCAGGCAUGGCGGGCUGCAGGUCCCCAGCCCUGCCCUGCGGGGAGGCAGCUAAGGCCGGGGGAGAAAUCCAGCACAGCACCCAUGAGCCAGCACUGCUGGGGGACCCGGCGCACCCUCCGCAGCUGCUGGCCCAGGUGCUAAGCCCCCGGCCGCUCGGAGUGUGGGGCCUGCCAAGCCCACGCCCACGCCCACGCAGAACCCUAACUGGCCUCCAAGCGCCCCACGAAGCCCCGGUUCCCGCCCGUGCCUCUCCCUCCCCACCUCCCUGCAGGCUGAGGGAGCCGGCUCUGGCCUCAGCCAUCCCAGGAAGGGGCUUCCACAGUGCAGCGGCGGGCUGAAGGGCUCCUCAAGCGCGGCCAGAGUGGGCGCCAAGGCUGAGGAGGUGCCAAGAGCGAGUGAGGGCUGCAAGGGCUGCCAGCACGUUGUCACCUUUCACGUUUACAUGGGGGACAAUAACUCCGGGCUCCCCAGCCUUUGGACUCCAGUGCUUAACAAGAAGGCCCCUUCAGGAUUCUCAGACCUUUGGUUUUGGACUGAGAAAUACACCAUUGGCUUUCCUGGUUCUGAGGCUUUUGGUCUUGGACUGAGCCACGCCGUCAGCAUCCCAGGGUUUGCAGCUUGCAGAUCGCCUGUCAUGGGACUUCUCAGCCUCCGUAAUCACGUGAGCCAAUUCCCCUAAUAAAUCCCCUCUCAUAUAUUUAUAUUUAUCUGUAUAUAUCCUAUUGGUUCUCUCUCUCUGGAG
RNAcentral lists this long non-coding RNA (756 nucleotides) under Homo sapiens (human). RNAcentral describes it as "HSALNT0213785". The record is from RNAcentral. Lineage: Eukaryota; Metazoa; Chordata; Mammalia; Primates; Hominidae.